Molecule: ribosomal RNA, 1452 nt
Filed under: Triticum aestivum (bread wheat)
Lineage: Eukaryota; Viridiplantae; Streptophyta; Magnoliopsida; Poales; Poaceae
Description: partial small subunit ribosomal RNA
Source: RNAcentral
AUGACAAUUUUUGACGACGAUGAUGAUGCGGAGCCACAACUGAAGGUCGUUGACAACUACUAUUUUGUGAAAGCCAAGAACGAGUUUGUUUGUUUCAGCACCUUGCCCCUUAAGUUUGAUGAAAAUGAUAAAGUCUCCGGGAAGGGUAUCUACUUGCGUCGAUAUUCCACAGAUGGCGCCCCUGCGGUAUACAAGCAGGUUGUAGCUUGGACAGUAGCACUUAACCGUGAGCAGCCAAAGAUCUCAGUGCUUUCAAGUGAGGGCUAUUGGAUAGAAUUGGAUCUAUUGAAACCACGAAAAAUCUAUUGGAAGUUUGCUCGAUCAGCAUUAACGACAGUUCAAAUGCUCCACUUUGUCAAAAGGCAACCCAGAAAACCGAUGAUAAGUCUUUCUGUUCACCUUCGUGAAGUAUUCAGUAAAUUUGAAACGGAAGAGAUGGAGAAUGCUUUAGGGAAACACCAUCACAUAAUCAAGCGAUGUGCAGAGAGGGAUCCUGCUUUAAUGAGGUCAAAGGUUCUGCAAAGCUUUAUCAAUGACACUUCUGGGAAAUACUUUGAGUGCAUAUUAAGGAGUCUGAGCACCAAGGAGUCAUUCAUUGUUGUUGCUGAGCCUCUUGCAAGUGGGGGUAAAGGCAAUUGCGAUACAGAUAGUGAUGGUAACAUAAUCGGCGAUGAUGGUGAUGGUACUGAGCCAAUAUGUGCAAUAUGUGACGAAGGAGGAGAAUUACUUAGCUGUAAAGGUCGAUGCAAGAGAGCCUUCCAUCCUACAAUAGAAGCUGGCAGAAAGUCUAAAUGUGUAACACUUGGUUACACUGCUGUACAAGUAAAGGAAAUGAAUAAGUUCAUAUGCGAAAACUGUAGAUAUGAACAACACCAAUGUUUCAAAUGUGGAGAACUCGACUCGUCUCAUGAGCCUAAUGCCAAGGUCUUUCAAUGUUGUAAACUGUUUUGUGGCCACUUCUACCACCCCAAGUGUGCUGCAGAAUUACUUCAGUCUGACAGUAAUGGAGCCUGUGAGUUGGAGAACAAGAUUGCAGCUGGGAUGCCAUUUCCAUGUCCUGUACAUUGGUGCUCCAGACCUGAUUGUAAAAAAAUGGAGGAAGGGACUGAAAGAGCAAUGUGGCUUGCUGGCUGCAGACGUUGUCCAAAGUCAUAUCACUUAGAUUGUUUGCCAAGGGAGAUAUGCUUUAAGUAUGGUAACAGGGGUAUACGUGCUUGGUUUCUAUCGGAAAGAAACCUAUCUAAAAGACUCAUCAUUUACUGCACAGACCAUGAGAUAGACCCAGCUAUGGGAACACCUUGCAGGGAUCAUAUAAAGUUCCCUGCUCUUGUAGAAAACAAAGGUCAUGGUUCAACAGAAUCCACAAAGUUUCAGCACUCUGAGAGGAAACCAUUGUGUAGAAUUUUGAUGAUGGUCCUGAGGACUUUGAAGAUUCUGCCAAACCAGACAUGA